Molecule: ribosomal RNA, 492 nt
Filed under: uncultured bacterium
Lineage: Bacteria
Description: partial 16S ribosomal RNA
Rfam family: Bacterial small subunit ribosomal RNA
Source: RNAcentral
AGUGAACGCUGGCGGUAGACCUAACACAUGCAAGUCGAACGGCAGCACAGUAAGAGCUUGCUCUUACGGGUGGCGAGUGGCGGACGGGUGAGGAAUACAUCGGAAUCUACUUUUUCGUGGGGGAUAACGUAGGGAAACUUACGCUAAUACCGCAUAAGACCUACGGGUGAAAGCAGGGGAUCUUCGGACCUUGCGCGAUUGAAUGAGCCGAUGUCGGAUUAGCUAGUUGGCGGGGUAAAGGCCCACCAAGGCGACGAUCCGUAGCUGGUCUGAGAGGAUGAUCAGCCAAACUGGAACUGAGACACGGUCCAGACUCCUACGGGAGGCAGCAGUGGGGAAUAUUGGACAAUGGGCGCAAGCCUGAUCCAGCCAUACCGCGUGGGUGAAGAAGGCCUUCGGGUUGUAAAGCCUUUUUGUUGGGAAAGAAAAGCAGCAGGUUAAUACCCCGCUGUUCUGACGGUACCCAAAGAAUAAGCACCGGCUAACUUCGUG